This is a long non-coding RNA of Solanum pennellii, 398 nucleotides long. RefSeq lists it as uncharacterized. Lineage: Eukaryota; Viridiplantae; Streptophyta; Magnoliopsida; Solanales; Solanaceae. The transcript is spliced from 2 exons. The record is from RefSeq and is a predicted model, not a curated record.
AUUAUUAGCCAGCAAGCACAGCAACACAAUAUGUCUCCAAACACUAUUGCUUCUCUUCUCAUUUUUUUGGUUUUUUCAAGUAUAUUACUACAUGAAGUGGAACCAAGAGAUGUUGUGUUCGUGCAUUGUGACAAGGACAGUGAGUGUGACAUUAUAUGUCGUGACGUACAUAAGGUUGAACCAUUAUGUUAUAAGCGUUACUGUAUCUGCGACCGCAGAUACUUCUGCAUGAAUGAUUUUAGCUGUAAACUUCAACCAAUUCAUUGUGAUGAUGAUAGUGGCAAAUCAUUUAAAUGUAUUCAUAACAUAUGUAAUUGUCUUUAGUACACUUGGUGAAAACAAAAAUGAAAAAUGUUGUGAUUUUAAUUCAUAAUAUAUAAAUAUAUAAAAGGUUGAUA